RNAcentral lists this long non-coding RNA (221 nucleotides) under Naja naja (Indian cobra). RNAcentral's name for it is "lncRNA (ENSNNAG00000008733.1)". The record is from RNAcentral. Lineage: Eukaryota; Metazoa; Chordata; Lepidosauria; Squamata; Elapidae.
GUCGCAGUGGUGGCUCAGUCCCAGGGUUAUUAGCGAUGGUAGUUCGUUAUUGAAUAACGCGUUAAAUCUGAAAACGCAGCCUACGUGUUAAAGAUGACUGGCUGGAGGAGUGAAAAAAGUGUCUAAAAAGAAAUCCAGUAGAAUCCAGCAUUUUCAAGAUGUGCAAAAUAACCAUGCUUUUAUAGAAGAAUGAAAGAUUUACAAUUAGGUGAUGGUUAAAA